CAAGUGACCCCGGUCUAACCACCGGGAUGUUCAUAACCCUUUGUUGUCCGACUCUGUUGCCUCCGGGGCGACCCUGCCUUCGGGCGGGGGCUCCGGGAGGACACUUCAAACUCUUGCGUAACUUUGCAGUCUGAGUAAACUUAAUUAAUAAAUUA
RNAcentral lists this unclassified non-coding RNA (155 nucleotides) under soil metagenome. Its description in RNAcentral is "partial internal transcribed spacer 1". The record is from RNAcentral.